This 178-nucleotide ribosomal RNA is filed under the name Arabidopsis thaliana (thale cress). RNAcentral describes it as "5.8S ribosomal RNA". It matches the Rfam family "5.8S ribosomal RNA". From Rfam's summary of the family: 5.8S ribosomal RNA (5.8S rRNA) is a component of the large subunit of the eukaryotic ribosome. It is transcribed by RNA polymerase I as part of the 45S precursor that also contains 18S and 28S rRNA. Functionally, it is thought that 5.8S rRNA may be involved in ribosome translocation. The record is from RNAcentral. Lineage: Eukaryota; Viridiplantae; Streptophyta; Magnoliopsida; Brassicales; Brassicaceae.
AAAACGACUCUCGGCGCAACGGAUAUCUCGGCUCUCACUACAUCGAUGAAGAACGUAGCGAAAUGCGAUAUUUGCGACCUGUGAAUUGCAGAAUCCCGUGAACCAUCCGAGGUCUUUGAACACAAAGUUGCGCCCAAACACCUUCUGGCCGAGGAGCACGUCUGCCUGGGUGUCACAA